This 252-nucleotide ribosomal RNA is filed under the name uncultured Bacteroidales bacterium. RNAcentral's name for it is "partial 16S ribosomal RNA". It matches the Rfam family "Bacterial small subunit ribosomal RNA", at positions 524 to 776 of the family's 1533-position model. The record is from RNAcentral. Lineage: Bacteria; Pseudomonadati; Bacteroidota; Bacteroidia; Bacteroidales.
UACGUAGGUGGCGAGCGUUAUCCGGAAUGAUUGGGCGUAAAGGGUGCGUAGGCGGACUGUCAAGUCAGCGGUAAAAUGUCCGGGCUCAACCCGGGCCGGCCGUUGAAACUGAUGAUCUUGAGUGGGCGAGAAGUAUGCGGAAUGCGUGGUGUAGCGGUGAAAUGCAUAGAUAUCACGCAGAACUCCGAUUGCGAAGGCAGCAUACCGGCGCCCAACUGACGCUGAGGCACGAAAGCGUGGGUAUCGAACAGG